Molecule: ribosomal RNA, 580 nt
Filed under: uncultured archaeon
Lineage: Archaea
Description: bacterial SSU rRNA
Rfam family: Archaeal small subunit ribosomal RNA
Source: RNAcentral
CCUGGAAUGGUUUAUGUUUCAAAUAAUUUAUUGCCGUAGGAUGGGACUGCGGCCUAUCAGUUUGUUGGUGAGGUAAUGGCCCACCAAGACUAUUACAGGUACGGGCUCUGAGAGGAGUAGCCCGGAGAUGGGUACUGAGACACGGACCCAGGCCCUAUGGGGCGCAGCAGGCGAGAAAACUUUGCAAUGUGCGAAAGCACGACAAGGUUAAUCCGAGUGGUUUCUGCUAAAGGAACCUUUUGUCAGUCCUAGAAACACUGAUGAAUAAGGGGUGGGCAAGUUCUGGUGUCAGCCGCCGCGGUAAAACCAGCACCUCAAGUGGUCAGGAUGAUUAUUGGGCCUAAAGCAUCCGUAGCCUGCUUUGUAAGUUUUCGGUUAAAUCCAUACGCUCAACGUAUGGGCUGCCGGGAAUACUGCAAAGCUAGGGAGUGGGAGAGGUAGACGGUACUCGGUAGGAAGGGGUAAAAUCCUUUGAUCUAUUGAUGACCACCUGUGGCGAAGGCGGUCUACCAGAACACGUCCGACGGUGAGGGAUGAAAGCUGGGGGAGCAAACCGGAUUAGAUACCCGGGUAGUCCCAG